UUUUAACAAAAAAAAAGAACUUACAAAAAAUAUAACAAACCCACAGCAUGUGUUGUUAUUAACUGAAAAGAGUAAAAAUCGUACCAGCAACAACAAUGUGCGAAAUAACAGUGUAAGAAAUAACAGCGUAAGAAAUAACAGCGUAAGAAAUAACAGCGUACGCAACAGUCACAAUGUUAAUAGUAAAAACUCAAGUAAAUUAAUUCCUUCUUAUAAUAUACCAAUUACUAAUAACAAAGUAGCACGAGAAGAAAAACUAUAUUAUAAUGGGACAAUUUUGCUUAACAAUACCAGUGUUUCAAAAGAUAAACUGCUCAUAGAGAAACAGCUAUAUAAUUAUAAUAUGAAUUUAAAAAAAAACAAAUUGUUGCUUCACGACAAAGUCAUAAAAGAAAACAAUAUAACCGAUUCUGUGUAUCUAAAAAAUAAUAACACAAAUUCAAUAAAAGAUGUAUAUAUGAACAAGCAUAAACAAUUAAAUAUAAAUAAAACCACCAAAAAUAUAACUGCUCCUAUUAAAAGCGCACAAGUUUCAAACCAUGAGAAAUACCAAAAAACGAAUAAAUUUAUCAAAAAAAAUGAUAAUUUAAUAAAAAAUAAUGUAGACAAUGAAAAAAUGUACAGUAACUAUAACCAUAUUUAUACUUCCAAUGUUUUAGAGCAAAAAAAUAAAACAAAUGUGAGCGAAACUAUUGUACAUAAUGGGCAAAAAGCAUUACAAGUAAAACCGACUCUACAACAAAUUAAGCCCCCCCUACAACAUGGCUUACCUCAAACUGAACGCAACACACAAAAAACACAACAAACCAAUAUAAGUAAUAAUGGUAACUUGAACCGAGACAGAAAUAACUAUCGUUUUCAGAUAGAGAAAAACAAAGUAAAUGUAAAAAGCAACAGCAUAUAUAAUCCUUCCAACCCAGCUAAUAAAACAGUUAAAAAACAAAUCAUUAAUCAAAAUAUAAAUAAUAACAAUAUAAAGACUAGCUUGGUUAAAAAGAUUGUUAGUAAUGUGUCCAAAAGUAUGUCUAACAAAUUGAACAGUCCCUUGUCAUGUUAUACAAAAAAUAGUAAUAACGCCAAAAUACUUCACCCUAAUAAAGGCGUAAUACUCUUAAAAAAAGAUAAGAAAAUUGAUUUGAAUAAUAUGACAAACAAAGAUAACACGUUUAAAAUGGGUUUAAAAAAUAAUCCCAGUAACCAAACAUAUAACAAAAAUAAUAAUAUUAAAAAUAAUAAUAUCAAAAAUAAUAAUAUCAAAAAUAAGUAUAGCGAAUAUAACAAUUCUAUUAUAUUAAGGGGUGAACUUAAUAAACCAAACGAAAAAACGAAUUCAAAUAGUUAUACACAAAACCACCACAUUAAAUUGUUAGAAAAAUAUAAUAAAAGCGAUGACAAUAAUAGCGACAGUAAUAAUAAAAACGACAGUAGUAGUAGUAGUAGUAGUAAUAGUAAUAGUAAUAGUGAUAGUAGUAAUCAUUACGACUACUUGAAACAACAAAAAUUUGAUAAUUCAAAAAAAAAUAAACAUAAAUCAAAUUUUAUACAUUUAAAAGAUAAACAAAUAAAUAAAAAAAUGUUAUUUAAUAAUAAUAAUAAUAAUAUUUCUCUUGAACCUAAAAACAAAAUUGUUAAUAAUAACUAUGAUUACCUAACAGAUGGACAAAAAUAUGAAAGUCAUUUUGGGCAAAAUGCGAACGAGUUUGAAAAGAGUAAUGCGAGUGACAACGGUGCAGGUCACAGCGACACAAGUGGCAUAGAUAUAAAUAUGAAACAUCCUUCUAAUUUGAAACUACUUCGUCAAAGUAGGCAUGGCGACACGUUUAGUGAGCAGGACGACAUAUAUAGUGGGAAGGACGACAUGUGUGGUGGACACGAAAAAAAAAGUUUAUAUACGCACAUACAAGAUAACAGUACUUAUUUUUUAAACACAAGAAAUGAAAAAAUAAAAAACGGAAUGUGUUUUGAAGAAAUGAAAAAAAACAUACCUAAGCAGUUGCCUAUUGACACAACAGAAUAUAGUAGUAGCAAUAAUGACAACAUUAGCGAGGUCAGUAGCAGCGGUAAUAUAAAAAGUGACAAUAACAUGGACUUAGAUAAUAGGGACUUAAAUGAUAAUAAAAAAAUAAGUAACCACCCAUUAAAACCUAGCGGCUUAAUAAAAAAAAGUAAAAUAAAUGAUAACAUAUUACUAAAAAAACACAGUUUUGUCACAUCUGUUCCUGCUGUUGAUUCAAAAAAAGUAGUAGCAGAUAAAAAUAAUGCACAUAUGAGCAAUAACAUGAGUGACAGUGACAAUAGCGAAAAAGAUAGUAGUGAAAGUGGCAGUCGCAACCAUACUGAUUACGAAAUAAAAAAUGUUCAAAAAAAUGAAAACAUAAACUCUAGCAUAUUUAACACAACUGCAAAAGUGUCAAAUAUUGAAAAAUAUCAAAAAAAAGAGCAGUAUCAAAAGGAUUCAUCAAUUAAUAGUAGUACCGGUAACUGCAAUGAUAAUAUCAAAUAUGAUAACCACUUUUACGAUAAAAUAAAACAAAAACAUGAACAAAAACACAAACAAAAACAUGAACAAAAACAUGAACAAAAACACAAACAAAAACAUGAACAAAAACAUGAACAAAAACACAAACAAAAACAUAAACAAAAACAUAAAUUAACAAACGUCAUAGUAGACAUAACUCAUUUAAAUGAUUUAAAAAUCAGUUCAACAAAUGGAGUUAAAAAUAAGAGUUCUGAAAAUGAAGACUUAGAAUAUAGGUCUAUAAUCAAUCCUAAUCCUUUUAAAUUUAAAAAAGUGUCUAAUGAUUCAUUAAGUUUGUCAAAAUAUGGAAGCUUGUUUAAUAGAUAUGAAGAAGCACCAGGUAAUAAAAAAAUAAAAAAUAAAAAAUAAAAAAAAAUAAAA
RNAcentral lists this long non-coding RNA (2899 nucleotides) under Piliocolobus tephrosceles (Ugandan red Colobus). Its description in RNAcentral is "lncRNA (ENSPTEG00000012720.1)". Lineage: Eukaryota; Metazoa; Chordata; Mammalia; Primates; Cercopithecidae. The record is from RNAcentral.